UAGAAAGUCCCCUUUUGAAUGUAAUGAGUGUGGGAAAAUUUUCUUUGACCCCUCAUCCCUUAAUAAGCAUCAGAAAAUUCAUAGUGGAGACAAACCCUAGAAAGGCACUGAAUGUGGGAAAACCUUCCUCCAGAAAAGACAACUUAUUCAACAUGAAAGAGUGCACACUGGAGAGAAAUCCUGCAAGUGCAGCGUGUGCGGGAAAGUGCUCAGUUGAAAGUCAUCUAUCAUCCGACAUCAGUGACAUUAUGCAAACAGGCUUCAGAGUAUCACAAAGGUGCUUCAGCUGGACAAGGGACCCCUGUAGUGACUUUGAAACCAGAGGCCAACUUGCUUUAACUAUACUCAGUUAGUUGUCUGUUUGCAAAAGUAGUCAGAUAAUGCAUUACUAAAACCUACCCUGUAAAUAACAUCUCUGAUGCCUGGGUCACCAUAGUAACAGGUGCUUGAGUUUUUCAAGAACUGAGAGUCGACUCCUUGUCCAGUUCAGGCUGGUUAAGACAACCAACUCAUCAACUGGACCUGCGCAGAUGACCAAUAGGUGACACUGUGACAUCAAGGAGCUGAAAACUCCACCCUCAGAUCAUGGUAAUGCUACCAUUUUGUGAACAUGUGUCCUGUGAAGAGCCAUGAAGCUUGACUACACUUGCACGGAUCAUCAGUUACCUCACUUCUCCUUACCUCCAAUCAUCUUUUCCCACUUCAGACCACCCUGCCUGCCCCCUUAUCCCAUAAAUAACCCUAGUCCCCAUUUUGGAGGGAGGUAGAUUUGCCCACCUCCUCGCUUGGCUGCCUUGUGAUUAAAUCCUUUCUCUUUGCAGACUCGUCAUCUCAAUGAUUGGCAUAAUUGUGUGCCAGGCAAAACAAACCUGGUUCAGUAACUUCAAGAUAAUGAAGAUUUAUCUUUGAGCACCUUCUAACUACUGUUUAUUCUCAUGCCUCCAUUUGGUACCAGAGUCUUAAUAAAUAGUCUCAAUGGAUCACACCAUGGACUUCCCCUGGGGUACUUCAAAUUUAAGAUAAUAGUCUGAGGAGCCCCAAAUUGAUCAGAUCAGAAGCUGUCCAAUCAACAUGCUUUGAUAUCUGAGUCUAUUCUGAGCAGCAGAGUGCCCAACUAUAUUUCUCAGCCUCUCUUGCACUGAGGUAUGG
RNAcentral lists this long non-coding RNA (1149 nucleotides) under Equus asinus (donkey). RNAcentral's name for it is "lncRNA (ENSEASG00005035560.1)". The record is from RNAcentral. Lineage: Eukaryota; Metazoa; Chordata; Mammalia; Perissodactyla; Equidae.